RNAcentral lists this ribosomal RNA (253 nucleotides) under uncultured bacterium. RNAcentral describes it as "partial 16S ribosomal RNA". It matches the Rfam family "Bacterial small subunit ribosomal RNA", at positions 524 to 776 of the family's 1533-position model. The record is from RNAcentral.
UACGGAGGGUGCGAGCAUUAAUCGGAUUUAUUGGGCGUAAAGAGCGCGUAGGCGGGUAAGCAAGUCAGAUGUGAAAGCCCGGGGCUCAACCUCGGAAUAGCAUUUGAUACUACAUACCUAGAGGGUAGGCGGAGAAAACGGAACUCCACAAGUAGCGGUGAAAUGCGUAGAUAUGUGGAAGAACACCAGUGGCGAAGGCGGUUUUCUAGCUUAUACCUGACGCUAAGGCGCGAAAGCAAGGGGAGCAAACAGG